This is a non-coding RNA of Onychostoma macrolepis, 577 nucleotides long. The record is from the annotation of a RefSeq genome assembly. NCBI's taxonomy places the organism in Eukaryota, Metazoa, Chordata, Actinopteri, Cypriniformes, Cyprinidae.
CAAGUUCUAAGUACAUCAGGAUUUCUUCAGUGAAUUAAAAUGAACACAGGUGGAGAUGGAGUGAUGGAGGGACGCCAGAGGAAGAUUCUCAAUGAAGCACUGUGGUGGACUUUUGGUGGAGGAACUAAACUCACGAUCAGAACUGGUCCCGCAGUGAAGCCCUCCGUGUCUCUGCUGCCUCCCUCUUCUCUGCAGAUCUCUGGAGACUCAGCCGCACUGCUCUGCCUGCUCAGCUCUUACUCUCCACAGGGGGCGCAGGUGAGCUGGACGCUGGACGGGUCAGAGGUCACCGAGGGGGUUCAGACCAGCGCAGAGAGCGAGCGGGACGGACGCUACAGCCGCAGCAGCGUCCUGAGCCUCAGCAAAGCACGCUGGGAAGACGCACAGCUUCGUCUGCAGAGUAACACAUGACGGAGCUGCUCAAGAGACCUCGUUCCUCAAGAGCUCCGAGUGCUGAUGUUUCUCCAGUGAAGAGCAGCAGGAUUCACAGCAGUCACGUGAUUUACAGCUCAAUACUCAAGCAGUCUUUCAAUCUGCUGCCAUUGCUGUUCAUUCAAUAAAGCUUCUGAACGCCUUA